Molecule: long non-coding RNA, 442 nt
Filed under: Mytilus galloprovincialis (Mediterranean mussel)
Lineage: Eukaryota; Metazoa; Mollusca; Bivalvia; Mytilida; Mytilidae
Source: RNAcentral
CCCUCUGGUGUUGGUUAAUAAAGAUGUUAAGUAUAAACUUUGAAAUGAUAACGGUUCUCAAGAUAUAGAGCGGACACGAUCUUUACCAUAGGACAUGGGGUUGUCAACUGAAACCAAAGUUUUUGACCUUUAACUUUGCCCUAGGCAGUCGUUCAUAAAUUAUGACACACCCUCUGGUGUUGGUUCAUAUACAUGUCAAGUAUAAACUUUGAAAUCAUAACGGUUCUCAAGAUAUAGAGCGGACACGAUCUUCACCACAGGACACAGGGUUGUCAACUGAAACCAAAGUUUUUUGACCUUGACCUUUGACCUAGGAAGUUGUACAUACAUUAUGACACGCCCUCUGGUGGUGGUUAAUAAACAUGUAAAGUAUAAAGUAUGAAAUCAUAAUGGUUCUCUAGAUAUGGAGCGGACACAAAGUUAAAGUGUUACGGACGGACGG